AUGGCUUGUUCCAAUCAAUGUCAAGCAGUUGCAUCAAUUCUUGGGGCUUUCAGGAUAUUAUCGCAAGUUCGUUCGUCACUAUGGCAUCAUUGCCAAACCUUUGACACAUUUGCUGAAGAAACAUGUUCCAUUUGUAUGGACAAGCGAUUGCACAACUGCAUUCGACACCCUAAAGCACUCUUUGGUGACAGCUCCGGUUCUCGCUGUACCAAAUUUCAGCAAGCAAUUCGUCAUCGAGACUGA
Molecule: ribosomal RNA, 243 nt
Filed under: Triticum aestivum (bread wheat)
Lineage: Eukaryota; Viridiplantae; Streptophyta; Magnoliopsida; Poales; Poaceae
Description: partial small subunit ribosomal RNA
Source: RNAcentral